UCUUCGACACGAUAACGGAAUGAGAUGAGUAAACUAAUUUCGAUUCGAAAGCAAAAGGAGAUAGCUACAAUUGAUAUCUCUCGAAUAUAGUAAGCGGAGACCAUUGGGUUCCCGUUUCUUAAAACCAUACCGUGACAGUUUAAUCUGAGGGAUUUCAGAAAUAGUCUCGUCCACUUUGUCCCAGACCGUGGUAGAAGAAGGAUCGCGAAGUUGUGUAGUUUCCGUGGUGUAAUUGUUACCCUAGCUAGAUAUCGAAGUUUGUGCGGUAAAAGUUGUGCGUGUUGAACUGUUGUGUCAGAGUUCAAAGCCUAGCGCAAGCUACGGCUUUUUCAUUCAGAGCCAACCCAAAAAUACCGCACAAAGCGCAGACGAAAAGCUAGCCGCCGCACCACCCUCCGUCGCGCAUCCAGUCUACGCUCUGGAAGCAAAGUUUCCCGGCGGUUUGAGGCCGGAAGGAGUCGCGAACGCCCUCAACGCACUCCAGGCGACUAUUCCGUUCAUCGUUCGCCCAGCCAGUAAGUUCACGGCACGAGAAAACCACCAAAAUCUCGUGCGUGAACGUGAAACUCGGUUGUAGCUCAACGAGUCAUCGCUGGUGGCAGCCAUCGCCGUCAUCGUCGUAGAAAGCGCAAAUAAGAG
Long non-coding RNA from Armigeres subalbatus, 639 nucleotides. RefSeq lists it as uncharacterized. NCBI's taxonomy places the organism in Eukaryota, Metazoa, Arthropoda, Insecta, Diptera, Culicidae. The transcript has 3 exons. The record is from RefSeq and is a predicted model, not a curated record.